UACAGAGGGUGCAAGCGUUGCUCGGAUUUACUGGGCGUAAAGCGUACGCAGACGGACCAUCAAGUCGGGAGUGAAAGCCCUGGGCUCAACCCAGGAACGGCUUUCGAUACUAGUGGUCUUGAGUUUGGGAGAGGGAAGCGGAAUUCCUGGUGUAGAGGUGAAAUUCGUAGAUAUCGCUUGGAACGCCGAAGGUGAAAACAGGCUGCUGGGGUUGCGCCGACGCUGAGACACGAAAGCCAGGGGAGCAAACGGG
This 253-nucleotide ribosomal RNA is filed under the name uncultured bacterium. RNAcentral describes it as "partial 16S ribosomal RNA". It matches the Rfam family "Bacterial small subunit ribosomal RNA", at positions 524 to 776 of the family's 1533-position model. The record is from RNAcentral.